CCGUCCUUAUAAUGAUCUUAUGAUUGAAAGUAUUUAAAAAUUAAAUAUAUGUCUCUAAUUCUCAACACUUUGAAAAUAUGUAUCAAAAUUAAUUCUAUGGAUGAUUCAAGGACACAUCACACUUGAAUAAAAAAAAAUUAUUUUUUUAUUGAUCACAUCAAUAUAUUAAGUAUAAAAUUAUACCCUAGAUUUAUUACAAU
This 200-nucleotide long non-coding RNA is filed under the name Elaeis guineensis (African oil palm). RNAcentral's name for it is "long non-coding RNA (EGUI_LNC036607)". Lineage: Eukaryota; Viridiplantae; Streptophyta; Magnoliopsida; Arecales; Arecaceae. The record is from RNAcentral.